Molecule: non-coding RNA, 478 nt
Organism: Pimephales promelas (fathead minnow)
Lineage: Eukaryota; Metazoa; Chordata; Actinopteri; Cypriniformes; Leuciscidae
Source: RefSeq, a predicted model, not a curated record
CCUCGCCGGCUGCUGUCAGUGUGUGUCUCUCCUCUCACACCCUCCCCUCCUCCUGUUGGUCCUGUAGUUUGUGCGCGCACAUCGGAGCAGGUGAGUAAAUCACAGAGAUGCCGAGUGUGAGAUAACGAGGCGAUGGGGGAUUCUCGCGGUUCCAGAUGCAUCGCCCAAGGCUGAAUGGAAGGGGUGGAGCAAACCGGCACCAGCACAGCUGUUCACAUGAUGCACCAUGAUGGGGUCAUGGAUACCAAUGAAGACCCUUGGAGUCUUGGACCUUUUUAAAAGUAAAAUGUGGAACAGUGGAAAUGACUUUUUUAAACAAUCGCCAAAGAGCAACGUUGCAACUUCUGGGAUUCUCAAAGCGAAUGCUCAAGUAUUGACGCUACAUAUUAAGCCUAAUCACUUGCUUUGGAUGAAACACGUCUAUUGUAUUAAGAAAUGGCAGAGCUGAUUGGUUCCUGCCGCAGAACCCUCCACCUUC